AUUCUUGUUUUGGUAGCAUCUAUAAUAAAAUUGGAAUGAUACAAAGAUUAGCAAGGCUCCUAAACAAGGGUGACACAAAUUUGUGAAGUGUUCCAUAUUUUA
Mesocricetus auratus (golden hamster) is the source of this 102-nucleotide small nuclear RNA. NCBI's taxonomy places the organism in Eukaryota, Metazoa, Chordata, Mammalia, Rodentia, Cricetidae. The record is from Ensembl.